UACGAGUGCCCCGAGCGUUGUCCGGAAUCAUUGGGCGUAAAGCGCGUGUAGGCGGUUCGGUAAGUCUGCUGUGAAAGUCGGGGGCCCAACCCUCGAAUGCCGGUGGAUACUGUCGGACUAGAGUGCGGAAGAGGCGAGUGGAAUUCCUGGUGUAGCGGUGAAAUGCGCAGAUAUCAGGAGGAACACCAAUUGCGAAGGCAGCUCGCUGGGACGUUACUGACGCUGAGACGCGAAAGCGUGGGGAGCAAACAGG
RNAcentral lists this ribosomal RNA (253 nucleotides) under uncultured bacterium. RNAcentral's name for it is "partial 16S ribosomal RNA". It matches the Rfam family "Bacterial small subunit ribosomal RNA", at positions 524 to 776 of the family's 1533-position model. The record is from RNAcentral.